Xenopus tropicalis (tropical clawed frog) is the source of this 357-nucleotide long non-coding RNA. RefSeq lists it as uncharacterized. Lineage: Eukaryota; Metazoa; Chordata; Amphibia; Anura; Pipidae. The record is from RefSeq and is a predicted model, not a curated record. The transcript has 3 exons.
CUAAGCCAGUGGGAGGGCCCAGGCCUGAAUCCUGUCAGACAUUUUGUUGCUGUGAAGGGGAACAUUAGAUUAUAAGAAGGGGCAGGAGAUAUAGGGAGACAUCACAAGGAGUUUGGAUUCUCUGUUCCAGUACAUUCUGCUGACAGAACAACAGGCCUCUGAGAUGAACCGACACCUACGAGAGGUGAAAUCAGAAAUUCACAGGUGUCAGGAAGAAGCAAGAAGUCUCACAGGGAGGCUUGAAGAGGCAAAGGCAACGCUGGAGACCAAGAAGAAACAGAACAACGGGCAGAAGACUGGGCAGGUUCUACACAGGGCAAGGAGACUCUGGAAUAAUCUCUGUGAUGGGGAAGGGCA